AGGAGUGUACUAUGCCGAUUUUUUUUUUGUGUCUUAUGUUAAUCAUGUAGAUGUUGAUUGUUGUAUGGUUGAUGAUGAUGAUGAGGAGAUGGCAGUAAUGCUGAAGUUUGUUUUAAUGAUAAGGAUUGAGGAUGUUAGAUAACCAGUCGCCGUGCAUAUCAGCUGUUACCAAUCUGAAGUGCAUUUGGCCUUUAAUGUAACAGGCUAGCAACACUGCUAGCGCUGGAAUUUUUGUUGAGGGUGUACUGUAGGAAUUGAUGUGGUGGGCUGUAAUGUAUUUUUGGAGCCAGUGCCCACUAGAUUAUAGUGGCAUGGGAGGCUAGUCCUGAGGAGGAUAGUCUGUCAGGUAGCCUUGUAGGGUUACCUAUGUGGAUGAGGAGCCAGUGCCCACUAGAUUAUAGUGCAUGGGGAGGCUAGUCCUGAGGGGGAUAGCCUGUCAGGUAGCCUUGUAGGGUGUACCUGUGUGGAUGAGGAGCCAGUGCCCACUAGAUUAUAGUGGCAUGGGGAGGCUAGUCCUGAGGAGGAUAGUCUGUCAGGUAGCCUUGUAGGUGUACUUGUGUGGAUGAAGGCUCGGAAUUUAUUUGCUAGGGUUUGUGAUGGGAAAUGGUUGCAUUUCUAAGGAAAUAGCGCCCAUUUUAUUUAGGGGGGGUGACUGUAACACCCAUGACAUUUAGAGAAAAUGUCAUGUGUAUUUACACAUUUAUAAAAGUAAAA
This is a long non-coding RNA of Pomacea canaliculata, 714 nucleotides long. RefSeq lists it as uncharacterized. The transcript is spliced from 2 exons. Lineage: Eukaryota; Metazoa; Mollusca; Gastropoda; Architaenioglossa; Ampullariidae. The record is from RefSeq and is a predicted model, not a curated record.